GCCCUUGUAGUAUAGCCUGGAUAGUACACGCGGUUGCGGUCCGUGGGACCGGGGUUCGAAUCCUCGCAAGGGCA
This 74-nucleotide transfer RNA is filed under the name Candidatus Woesearchaeota archaeon. Its description in RNAcentral is "tRNA-Arg". It matches the Rfam family "tRNA". From Rfam's summary of the family: Transfer RNA (tRNA) molecules are approximately 80 nucleotides in length. Their secondary structure includes four short double-helical elements and three loops (D, anti-codon, and T loops). Further hydrogen bonds mediate the characteristic L-shaped molecular structure. tRNAs have two regions of fundamental functional importance: the anti-codon, which is responsible for specific mRNA codon recognition, and the 3' end, to which the tRNAs corresponding amino acid is attached (by aminoacyl-tRNA synthetases). tRNAs cope with the degeneracy of the genetic code in two manners: having more than one tRNA (with a specific anti-codon) for a particular amino acid; and 'wobble' base-pairing, i.e. permitting non-standard base-pairing at the 3rd anti-codon position. Lineage: Archaea; Nanobdellati; Candidatus Woesearchaeota. The record is from RNAcentral.